RNAcentral lists this ribosomal RNA (492 nucleotides) under uncultured bacterium. RNAcentral describes it as "partial 16S ribosomal RNA". It matches the Rfam family "Bacterial small subunit ribosomal RNA", at positions 29 to 507 of the family's 1533-position model. The record is from RNAcentral.
AGUGAACGCUGGCGGUAGGCCUAACACAUGCAAGUCGAACGGCAGCACAGUAAGAGCUUGCUCUUACGGGUGGCGAGUGGCGGACGGGUGAGGAAUACAUCGGAAUCUACUUUUUCGUGGGGGAUAACGUAGGGAAACUUACGCUAAUACCGCAUACGACCUACGGGUGAAAGCAGGGGAUCUUCGGACCUUGCGCGAUUGAAUGAGCCGAUGUCGGAUUAGCUAGUUGGCGGGGUAAAGGCCCACCAAGGCGACGAUCCGUAGCUGGUCUGAGAGGAUGAACAGCCACACUGGAACUGAGGAACGGUCCAGACUCCUACGGGAGGCAGCAGUGGGGAAUAUUGGACAAUGGGCGCGAGCCUGAUCCAGCCAUACCGCGUGGGUGAAGAAGGCCUUCGGGUUGUAAAGCCCUUUUGUUGGGAAAGAAAAGCAGCAGGUUAAUACCCCGCUGUUCUGACGGUACCCAAAGAAUAAGCACCGGCUAACUUCGUG